This 253-nucleotide ribosomal RNA is filed under the name uncultured bacterium. RNAcentral's name for it is "partial 16S ribosomal RNA". It matches the Rfam family "Bacterial small subunit ribosomal RNA", at positions 524 to 776 of the family's 1533-position model. The record is from RNAcentral.
UACAGAGGUCCCAAGCGUUGUUCGGAUUCAUUGGGCGUAAAGGGUGCGUAGGUGGCGUCGUAAGUCGGGUGUGAAAUCUCAGAGCUCAACUCUGAAACUGCACUCGAUACUGCUUUGCUUGAGGACUGGAGAGGAGAUUGGAAUUCACGGUGUAGCAGUGAAAUGCGUAGAUAUCGUGAGGAAGACCAGUGGCGAAGGCGGAUCUCUGGACAGUUCCUGACGCUGAGGCGCGAAGGCCAGGGGAGCAAACGGG